GACGAACGCUGGCGGCGUGCUUAACACAUGCAAGUCGAACGGAAAGGCCCUGCUUUUGUGGGGUGCUCGAGUGGCGAACGGGUGAGUAACACGUGAGUAACCUGCCCUUGACUUUGGGAUAACUUCAGGAAACUGGGGCUAAUACCGGAUAGGAGCUCCUGCUGCAUGGUGGGGGUUGGAAAGUUUCGGCGGUUGGGGAUGGACUCGCGGCUUAUCAGCUUGUUGGUGGGGUAGUGGCUUACCAAGGCUUUGACGGGUAGCCGGCCUGAGAGGGUGACCGGCCACAUUGGGACUGAGAUACGGCCCAGACCCCUACGGGAGGCAGCAGUGGGGAAUAUUGCACAAUGGGCGGAAGCCUGAUGCAGCAACGCCGCGUGCGGGAUGACGGCCUUCGGGUUGUAAACCGCUUUCGCCUGUGACGAAGCGUGAGUGACGGUAAUGAGUAAAGAAGCACCGGCUAACUACGUG
This 468-nucleotide ribosomal RNA is filed under the name uncultured bacterium. Its description in RNAcentral is "partial 16S ribosomal RNA". It matches the Rfam family "Bacterial small subunit ribosomal RNA", at positions 28 to 507 of the family's 1533-position model. The record is from RNAcentral.